AUUCCACUUUUGUGGCCUUUUGCCAUUUUAUCACUGAUAUAUUCAGUGGAAUUAGCCAUUUCAGCCUCUUACUUCAAAAAGACGAGGUCAUCCUACCACAAGCAGUGUGCGGCCUUGACAAGCUGCUGAUGACAACAGAGGCAAUGCUUGCAAGGCCUAAGCCGGGCGGAAGACUAGCAGAGUUCUUGGCUGACCUGACACAGCAGAAGAGGCAGCGGCAGCAUACACAGGAAACAACAUACACAUUCCAGACAAUACCGCUCAAAGGUGAGGCAUCCGAGCUGA
Long non-coding RNA from Neoarius graeffei (lesser salmon catfish), 285 nucleotides. RefSeq lists it as uncharacterized. The record is from RefSeq and is a predicted model, not a curated record. The transcript has 3 exons. Lineage: Eukaryota; Metazoa; Chordata; Actinopteri; Siluriformes; Ariidae.